GAUGAAGAACGUAGCGAAAUGCGAUACGUAAUGUGAAUUGCAGAAUUCAGUGAAUCAUCGAGUCUUUGAACGCACAUUGCGCCCCCUGGUAUUCCGGGGGGCAUGCCUGUCCGAGCGUCAUUGCUGCCCUCAAGCACGGCUUGUGUGUUGGGCCUCCGUCCUCCUCCCGGGGGACGGGCCCGAAAGGCAGCGGCGGCACCGCGUCCGGUCCUCGAGCGUAUGGGGCUUCGUCACCCGCUCUUGUAGGCCCGGUCGGCGCUUGCCGACACAUCAAUCUUUUUUCCAGGUUGACCUCGGAUCAGGUAGGGAUACCCGCUGAACUUAAGCAUAUCAUAAGCGGAGGA
RNAcentral lists this unclassified non-coding RNA (344 nucleotides) under soil metagenome. RNAcentral's name for it is "partial contains 5.8S ribosomal RNA, internal transcribed spacer 2, and large subunit ribosomal RNA". The stretch from base 1 to 120 matches the Rfam family "5.8S ribosomal RNA", at positions 35 to 154 of the family's 154-position model. The record is from RNAcentral.